RNAcentral lists this ribosomal RNA (301 nucleotides) under uncultured bacterium. RNAcentral's name for it is "partial 16S ribosomal RNA". It matches the Rfam family "Bacterial small subunit ribosomal RNA", at positions 509 to 807 of the family's 1533-position model. The record is from RNAcentral.
CAGCCGCCACGGUAAUACGUAGGUGGCAAGCGUUGUCCGGAAUUAUUGGGCGUAAAGGGCUCGCAGGCGGUUUCUUAAGUCUGAUGUGAAAGCCCCCGGCUCAACCGGGGAGGGUCAUUGGAAACUGGGAAACUUGAGUGCAGAAGAGGAUAGUGGAAUUCCACGUAUAGCGGUGAAAUGCGUAGAGAUGUGGAGGAACACCAGUGGCGAAGGCGACUCUCUGGUCUGUAACUGACGCUGAGGAGCGAAAGCGUGAGGAGCGAACAGGAUUAGAUACCCCUGUAGUCCCUGUCUCUUAUAC